UUACAAUACAAGGGAUUAACACUUCCCUUCAAGUGUAUAAAAACACUUUGCACUCAAAACAAGACUCUCCUCAAGAGUAGAUAUGAGUAAAAUAAAUACACCCAAGAACGCAACAACUUUCGUCAAGAAUUUGGCUCUCAGAAACUUAUGUAAUGAAUAGAAAAUGAUGAAUAAGAGAGUAUGCAAGCUUUACCAAUAAUAUGAUCAGUU
This 210-nucleotide long non-coding RNA is filed under the name Nicotiana benthamiana. RNAcentral describes it as "long non-coding RNA (NBEN_LNC031621)". The record is from RNAcentral. Lineage: Eukaryota; Viridiplantae; Streptophyta; Magnoliopsida; Solanales; Solanaceae.